AGAUGACGCACAAAGUUUUCAGGCGUGUCGAAAAGCAGUCGCGCUUGCGUACUUACAUAUGUUCAUCGUGUUCGUCGUUGUGGUGGUUACGGUUCAGAGAUAGUAGUGUGCAACAGUAGAAUAGGACUUAUUGAGUAAAGCAUUUAUGGAAAGUGAGCGAAAGUGAUAGAGUGCCAUGAUAAAGUUGUACGAGUGGACAAUUGAAUCUUAUAAUUGAAAGUCCAAAAAAAAGGUGCGUUCACGAUAAAGGUGUCGAAGAAGUGAAUCGUGAUUGGUGAAUCUUAGACGGCCAUUAUUGUGCGCCAUUCGGUCUCCGGUGCAGAUCCGCGCAGCGAAAGGGCAGAUGCCCUUACGCGGUUCGUGUUCCCAUUGGUGGGUACGCGUUAAUCUACCCGGAUCGACACACUUCGUGAGAUCCGGUAGUAUUUCUCAAAACGUAUUCUUGAACAUACUAAAUUUAAAAAAUAUAAAGACAAGUAAAUCAACCACCUCCUGUGAAAAGCGAGUCUUUUGAUAGUCGACUCGAUAGUUGUGUGAUCUCUGUCUAAUAGCAACAGUAGCAACCGCAGCGCCGUCAACAACACGACAACGAUAACGACGACAGUAGCGCCAUCAGCGCGACCGCCAUCGCAGCGAAAAGAAACAGUAUUCCUUUGAGGAAAGAAGAAAUGCCUGUAGGUUCGCGAUCAGUGGCGCGACCAAAGAUGGAGGCCACGUCCAGUUUGUAACACGCAGCCAAGUCUCGUUCAAAGCGCACCAACGGAGCCACGAAGCGCUCCUCGAGUCGGCUGUCCAAAGUCGCUUUUGCCCCGUGCUACUUUUCUUCGUGAGCCCCGCGAGGCUGGAGAAUGGAGCUACGCGUUGGAAAUAAGUACCGGCUCGGACGGAAAAUCGGGAGUGGCUCCUUUGGCGACAUUUAUCUAGGUACCAAUAUCUCUACCGGCGAGGAAGUCGCCAUCAAGCUAGAAUGUAUAAAAACGCGGCAUCCACAGUUACACAUAGAAUCAAAGUUCUACAGGAUGAUGCAAGGUGGUGUUGGAAUACCAACUAUAAAAUGGUGUGGUUCAGAAGGUGACUACAAUGUAAUGGUAAUGGAGCUACUAGGUCCAUCAUUGGAGGAUCUAUUUAAUUACUGUUCAAGAACUUUUUCUUUGAAAACAGUCUUGCUUCUCGCCGAUCAAUUGAUAAGUAGAACGGAUUAUAUUCACAGUCGCAAUUUUAUCCAUCGAGACAUCAAACCAGAUAAUUUUUUGAUGGGCUUGGGAAAAAAGGGAAAUCUCGUAUAUAUUAUAGAUUUUGGAUUGGCCAAAAAAUAUCGCGAUGGCCGUACUCACAAACACAUACCGUAUCGAGAAAACAAGAACUUAACAGGGACAGCCAGAUACGCGAGUAUUAAUACACAUUUGGGAAUUGAACAAUCACGACGAGAUGACCUUGAAUCCUUGGGAUAUGUUCUUAUGUAUUUCAAUAGAGGUAGCUUGCCCUGGCAAGGUUUGAAAGCUGCAACUAAACGACAGAAAUACGAACGUAUUUCUGAAAAGAAAAUGUCUACACCUAUCGAAGAAUUAUGCAAGGGUUAUCCUGUUGAGUUCGUGCAAUAUCUAAGGUAUUGUCGAGGACUACGAUUCGAGGAAAGGCCGGACUAUUCGUAUCUUCGGCAACUUUUCCGGACGUUGUUCCACGAAGAAGGCUUCACAUACGAUUAUGUCUUCGAUUGGAAUAGGCUGAAAUUCGGUAAUGUGAGGCAACAAACAUUGUCUUCGACUCAACAGACACCGAUGCAAUCGCAACAUACGAAUGCAGCGCUGCCUUCUGGGACUAAUAAUGAUCAAGAACAUCGAUCUAGCCCUUACACCCGGCAGUGUUUGGCAAACAUAUCAGUGGGAACAGUGGGUCCGACUGUAGGUGGAACAACUACAAAUUUGAGAAGCAUGCGGCAAAAACGCGAGGCGAUAGACGCUCUUCGCGAUCAGGACAAUCAGGAGAGCGAUCUUCAAGCAUCGGGCACAGGUGGCCAAGAACGAAGAGUCAGCAUGAGGUUGCACCGUAGGGAUGCAGCUGCUGGAGAGAUGCAACCGAAGACCAAGUGAGUUGCUAUAUCACGCCAAAACAUCAUCGCGGAUAAAAGCACCUAAGUAUAACUCGCUCUGUCUAGUAUAUAUAUAUAUACAUAUAUAUAUAUCUAUAUAUUUCGUGAUCGAUAUAAACUCGAAGAGUUGCGCAAUUAGUUUUUUUUAUCGAACUGUGAUUCGCUAUUAAAGAAAUACUUUUGCUUGCGAACUAGAUCUCGACGAUGGAUGUCAGUGUUAGUUGCAUUGAGCUCUAAUUUGGCAGGUCACUUUUUUGGUAGAUUGGUGUCUUGAUACCGUGGCAUGGUUCUUCCUUGAUCAAAGGAUAUCCGGGGAAAAGUUGAGAGAGGAGAGGGAAUGCACUUUUUGAUAUUUGGAACGAAUAUUAUAUUCUUUCUUCUUUUUAAUUUUUUUACUCUUUGUUUCUUCAUUCAUGUAAUCUCAUACAUUGACAAAUGUAAAAUUAUCAUUUCUUUCUAAUUUUGUUUUCUUUCUUUUAGUAAAUAAAAAUGUAAAAAAAAAAAUAUUCUUUCCAAAUGCAACGUUAAAGAUAUAUUUGCCUGCUACACCGGGUGCACUGGGAUGGUUUUUCUUUAUAUCACAUUUUCUUUGUGUUACGGGAUCUUAUAUAAUAAUAAACAAGUAUGGCAGAAAGCCUUAUGAUUAUCGAAGAACUCUCCUUUUAUCUCGUGAAUUCUUUUAUAUAUCUUUUAUAAUUUCUAAUCUUCUAUUACUUUCUUCUAUUACGUUCUAUUAGCGUGAACGAUAAAUCACAUGAGAAAAAUUACUAAAAAUCAUUGAAUUGAAUGAUAUUGACAUUUUUGGGUACUGAUACAAUGUACGAAUGCAUAUUAAAAGUUAUUUUUGAUUAGUAGACACUGCGUUAAAAAUGAAAGUCAUUGUUAGACAGGUAUUCUCAACUUAUAGACUUAAAGAACAGUGGGUAAAGUAGAUUUUAGGUAUGGAGAGAGAAGGAAAAAGGCCACGUAGCCAUCUUUGAACGUUAAAUUCGUGAGUGACGUACUUUAUAAGUUAUUUAUAGCAUGAUUUAUUGGUAUUAUUGUUAUUUAACGUGUUAAUAUAUUCGAAAAUCAGUUUUGUUUGGUUUUUUUUUCAAUUUCAAUCUUGUGAAAUUAGGCAUUGUUUUUUAAGUCUAUGCUUUCAACUCGAUAUCUAAUUUAACCUAACCUAAUAUGAAUACACUUGAAAAUAAAACUCUCAAGAGUUUUUUUCAAAAUUUUUUACUAAUAGAUACUAUGUUAAAACUUAUUUUUGUUUAAUCAAACACUCUCAACGUAGUGUUCAACUAGCAAAAAAUAACUUCUAAAAGCAAUUUUUUUGAGAGUUUAAAUUCUAUGUUCAUAUUCUGAGGACUAAUCCAACAAUUAAAAUUUAUCAUCGUUCAUUGCGAUCGGGAUACCCAAGUAAUCGAAUACUUGAAUCAUG
Molecule: unclassified non-coding RNA, 3515 nt
Filed under: Apis dorsata (giant honeybee)
Lineage: Eukaryota; Metazoa; Arthropoda; Insecta; Hymenoptera; Apidae
Description: casein kinase I-like, transcript variant X9
Source: RNAcentral